This 1006-nucleotide unclassified non-coding RNA is filed under the name Octopus sinensis (East Asian common octopus). RNAcentral's name for it is "uncharacterized LOC115232575, transcript variant X2". The record is from RNAcentral. Lineage: Eukaryota; Metazoa; Mollusca; Cephalopoda; Octopoda; Octopodidae.
AUAAAAGUCAGCCGUCAAGCGGUGCAAAACCUUGUUCCACCAUCAAACCGUAAGCAUGGCAGCUUCAGGGCUGAGAUAUGUCCUUAAUUACCACAAAAACUGUCUUUCCACCGCUUCGAACGUUAUUCUUUCAAUGUCCUUGCUUUCUAGGAAAUACCUUCAAGCCAACAGGGUUAAGCUGAUCCGGUUUUUGACCUUUCCGCAUGCCCUGGUUAAAAGAAACCCAAGACCUUUGCCUCGACCUCUACAGGUUCACGCUUCACACAAUCAUUAUUGCAAGCAAUUUCAUUCUUCAACACAUUCUUCUUUAAUUCUCUCCAAGCAGCGAAAUGCUGCCGUGGCCCGACUUGGAACUCUUUUACACAGAUCUUAUCACGAUGACAAAUCGGAUAAACCUUGUUUGAAAUUAAUGGAUUUUCCUGAAAUAAUUUGGCCGAGUCCGAUAAAAUCCUUCCGAAAUUGGUGGUUUUCCAAAUUAAUUCAAGGAUAUUACGAUCACAGCUUUUCCAUAGAUUCUUUCCUAACUGGCUCAGAACAGGCCAUUAAUUAUGUUUCUAACUGUUUGGCAGAAGGAGAUUUUGAUGAGCUUCAACACAUUGUGGAACCUGAAGCUCUCCAAGAAAUCCAGAAUAACUACGCUGACUUAAGCUACAGUCAAAGAACAUCACUUGCUAUUAAACCCGAAGAUAUAUUCCUACGUUUUAUUUAUGAAAUCGGAAUGAUGUUUGAUGACAAUGAAAAUUCAUCCGAGAUUUUACCAAAGGAGUUUCCAGUAGUGAUUGGAUAAUUAAUAAGCUGAAUCAUUUCAUACCAAAUGAACUCACCUUGAAAUAAUUACAGUGUACCCGUAUGAUUUUUACCAACAUCCCAGGUGGAACUAGAAAUGAAUGCAUCUUCAGACAUUAUUGUUCCUGGAUAGCAGAGGAACACCAAUUCUUCUAAAGCUUUAUCUUUUAUUUUAUUUUCUUCUGUUGAAACUAAAUAAACUACAAUAUUGAAUUUGUUA